AUUGAACGCUAGCGGCAGGCUUAAUACAUGCAAGUCGAGGGGCAGCACGGAUAGCAAUAUUUGGUGGCGACCGGCGCACGGGUGCGUAACACGUAUACAACCUACCUAUAACAGGGGGAUAGCCUUUCGAAAGAGAGAUUAAUACCCCGUAAUAAAUUGAGUGGCAUCACUUGAUUUUGAAAGCUACGGCGGUUAUAGAUGGGUAUGCGUCCUAUUAGCUAGUUGGUGAGGUAACGGCUCACCAAGGCGACGAUAGGUAGGGGAUCUGAGAGGACUAACCCCCACACUGGUACUGAGACACGGACCAGACUCCUACGGGAGGCAGCAGUAAGGAAUAUUGGUCAAUGGAGGCAACUCUGAACCAGCCAUGCCGCGUGCAGGAUGACGGCCCUAUGGGUUGUAAACUGCUUUUGUACCAGAGAAAACCUACUCACGUGUGAGUAGCUGAUAGUAUGGUAAGAAUAAGCAUCGGCUAACUUCGUGCCAGCAGCCGCCGUAA
RNAcentral lists this ribosomal RNA (499 nucleotides) under uncultured bacterium. RNAcentral describes it as "partial 16S ribosomal RNA". It matches the Rfam family "Bacterial small subunit ribosomal RNA", at positions 30 to 523 of the family's 1533-position model. The record is from RNAcentral.